RNAcentral lists this ribosomal RNA (301 nucleotides) under uncultured bacterium. Its description in RNAcentral is "partial 16S ribosomal RNA". It matches the Rfam family "Bacterial small subunit ribosomal RNA", at positions 509 to 807 of the family's 1533-position model. The record is from RNAcentral.
CAGUCGCCACGGGAAUACGAAGGGGGCUAGCGUUGCUCGGAAUGACUGGGCGUAAAGGGCGCGUAGGCGGUUUGUACAGUUGGAUGUGAAAUUCCUGGGCUUAACCUGGGGGCUGCAUUCAAUACGUGCAGGCUUGAGUGGGGAAGAGGGUCGUGGAAUUCCCAGUGUAGAGGUGAAAUUCGUAGAUAUUGGGAAGAACACCGGUGGCGAGGGCGGCGACCUGGUCCUUGACUGACGCUGAGGCGCGAAAGCGUGGGGAGCAAACAGGAUUAGAUACCCCAGUAGUCCCUGUCUCUUAUAC